CCACCUGCCACGCGAACAAUGCACCUUUUCUCUCUGUCCUCCUCCUCGUCUCCUUCCCUGCCGAAUCUCAUCUAGCUCCAUUUCCAUGGCCUCGCUGCCGCCUCCUCUCCCUCCAUCGGCAGAUCCGCCAUAGCCUCCAUUUCCGUGGCGGCCUCGACACCCCUGCUCCCCACCGUCUGUCUCCUUCUCCUUCGGCGCGCCUUGGCUACGAUCAAGAAUGUCAUGCAUAACCCUCCCUUAUCCACUAAUAAAAGCCACUCUUGCUUUUGGCACAACUGGACUUAUGAAACCGAUCAUGCUGGACAAUCAAAUACUUCUUCCCUCAUCCUUAUCUACUUCGCUUUAUUUAAUAUGUUUAGUGACCCGUAAAUCAAUGUUCUACUCUCUCAUGGAAAACCUUCUUUGCAGUAAUAUGAAAGGUUAUCACAAAGCAUAGGACCCCUUCCCCAUCCUGAGCCCCUUUGUUAAUAAAAUGGUGAGGUUUGGACCUAAACAUGGUGUUUUAGUCUCACUCUCUUGUUUACAUCUUCACUUUUGAAAAGGCAUUUCGAUCCCUAAUGAGUUUUGGUGUUAAUGACAACAUAACUUGUGGACUAAUCGUGCGCCAAGUGUUUUCAGAUUUUAUAACUAGUGUUGUGACACGAUUCAUCGCCCUAAAAAAGGAAAAAAGAGUAUAAGGAUUUACGGCCUUUUACUUUAUUGAGUCGUAUGAAAAUCCGUACUAUAAAGAGAGAGUCCAUUUGGGAACACUUUGUGUGAAUCAACUUCAUGUACAUAAAUCUACUAAAUUGCACCCACAUAAAGCCUAAACCCAGUUUUGAGUUGAGAGUUGUUGUUAUCCUGCUAAGCCUGUCAGACUUUUUCAGAGUUAGCCGGUACUACCGCCUAAAUAGCCGGAGGUUCCGGUGGGCGGAAGUUCUGCCCUGGUACUGGUCAGGUACUGAAACGCUACUGGAAUCCUACUACGUAUAGCGGUAGGAGACCGGUAGCAGGGCAAAAGUUCUACCCCCUAGAACUUCCGGUCCUCUACCGCCCUGGUACUGGUGUUACUGAAAUGUGUCUUAACGGUUGGAUUUCGAUGAGGUAUAAAAGGGGCUUCGUCCCCCAACGGGUUUCUUAGCCCGAGCACACCUAGUUCAUCCCCGUUCUCUCACUCAAGAACACCAAGAGCUUCAAAUCUAGUUGUGGAUUCGUGCCCUUCCACUUGUUUGUAAAGGUUUGGCGUUCGCCUUCAAGGAAGCCAUUAGUGGAACUCACCUCGCCUUUGUGAUGUUGUGAGAGCUCAUCCCACCUUUGUGGUGUGGUGAGUUGGAGAAUAGAGUGAGCCUUCGUGGCGUUUCUUCCUUUGUUAUAGAGCACUCCUCCAAACGGAGACGUACACCGAUCCCAAUAGGUGGAACUCCGGUGAAAUCUUCGUCUUCCUGUGUGCUAUCAUACUUGUCCCUUUACUUACUUGUUUUACUUCAUUGUCUAUACUUUGGUUCGGCUAGUGCUUCGGCUAUUGCACUUCAUACUAGGGUUGCAUUCCUUUUAGAGAAUCUUGUGAACUCUAAGAUUAAGUGUUUGUAUCUUUCAAGAAAAUAAAAUUAAAAAGUAAAAUUUGUUAGUCGCCUAUUCACCCCUCCGCUCUAGUCAACCAUACUGAUCUUUCAAUUGGUAUCAGAGCCUCGUCUCUUAAUUAGGGCUUUACCGCUCUUCAGAGUAUGGCCAGCGAUGAUGGGGAACCCACCAUGAAACCCCAAGAAACCGAGGUGAUAGAUGAUAAUGCUCCACUAACUUUUAAAUCCAUCAAAUUGCUUUUGGAUAGCAUGCAAAAAGUGAUUCUAGAUAAUGUGGACAAAAAGAUUAGUUAGCACCUACCUAGCAAAGCCUCUUCUUCUUCUAGCGAGUCCGUCCAUGUCAAGCCACCAAGUGCGGUGGAUUUGACUAAGGAAGAUUCGGAUGACGAAGCCCGUAAAAAGGCUAAGGCUAUCAAAGAGAGUGCUACCAAAUCCCAAGGUAGGGGUGGCUAUGGGUUGUAUAGUGAGGAGCCACCAUAAUUUGCCACCUAUGUACAACCAAGGUGAUCCCCCCAUGCUAACAUCUACUAACUACAUUGAUUGGUUUCAUUCCAUGAGGACUCACUUCAAGAGCACAUCAACGGAGUUGUGAAGAAUUGUUGAUGAAGGUUACUUUGUUUAUGAUCCAAAGAACAUGUCGCCAAGAGAGUAUGUCGACAAUCAACUCAAUGAGCAUGCCAUUGGAAUGCUCCUAAAUGCUCUACCUUUGGAGUAUAGAACCUAUGUCCGUGGAGUUGAUUCCGCUAGAGAUGCUUGGAAGCUAAUUGGUGAUCACUUUGACAACAAUGAGAGUGUCAAGAAAUCAAAGUUUGAAGUGGUCAUCAAGGAAUGCAAGAAUUUCUUCAUGAAGGAUGGAGAGGUUCCAGAGGAGCUAUAUAGAAAGUCAUCACUCUUGAAGCCAAGAUGAAAGACCAUGAAAGUCGUGACAUCAAUGAUGAAUGGAUCAAGCGUCUGUCAUAGCACGGGCUUUGACACCGGGGAUGCGCGAGCACCCCCUUUUUGGUUCGGCAGUGGGCGACGGGGAUCGCUCCGGCGAUCGCCGGCGGGCCAAUGCGAAGCGCUACAGCAUGCGAUGAGCACGGACACGCGUUUUACCCAGGUUCGGGCCACCCGGAGGUGUAAAACCCUACGUCCUGCUAGUCUGAGCUCAUAUUGACGGAAGAACAAGUGCUUACAAGUUGUCGGGGGGAGCUCCCGGGUGCUCUCUUCUUUGGCUAAGUGUCCCUUGCUACUUUGGGCUACUGCUACUGAAGUACUGCUAGUUGGUCAGCGAACGAACCAACGAGUCAACCAUGCAACUAUCCACCCCCUUUGACCGCUGGCGUGGGUCCUCCUCUUAUAGCCAAGGGGAUACCACAUGUGCCACGGUGCAUGGUUUACAAGUGGCGAGAAGGAAGCUCGGCAGCUCACGCUGGCAUACAUGCAAGAAUACUAGCCUCGCAGCUAGGGGUCUAAGGCCUAAAAACUACUCUUGGACAACCACUGUUCGCUUGACUUGACAGGGAACCCCCUCCCUGUCGGUUCAUUUAAUGCGCCGUGCGCCUCACUCCUUGUCCUGACGAACCCUGCGUGCUGGGUGCCCGCCGUGCGCCCAGGUGGCGCCGCAGUCCUGUUUACUCGGCCCCGCCCUUGCAACGGAAACCUGCGCCCGGGAGCGCCCCUCCCGGGAGGUGCCCAGGCAUGAAUUCUCCCCCGAAGCCCCGCUAGCCCUGCCGGGCUGGUAGCUUGCCGGGCAGCUUGUACACUGCCGCCCGGGGUGAGAUCCUCCCGGGAAGCAGGCAAGGCGACCCGCGCGUCGUGCAGCGGUGGUACCCCGGGUGCCACUGGUGCGAUAGUAGCCCCCGGGCGUGGGCCGGCAACGUCUUCUUCCGGGCGGACUCCUCCCUGGUCGGUUGCCGGGCUACGCCCUUAACCGACGCGUGGGUCCUGAGUCGUCUCGGGCCCGCGUCUUUCCGCCAUCUCAAGGACCCCGCCGUUACGGGCGAAGUAGUGGGUGCGAAAUUUCUGCCGUAACCUCCCCCUUAAACUUGGGAAGUUAAGGCCACUCUUCGCAUUAUCCCUUUGAUUAGUAAUUAUUCCAACGCACCCGUAGGGUAUGGAUGCGACCGUUACCGAGCAGCGGGGUGCUUUAAGGCCCCACUGCUACGCUGAGGCGUGAACACUUAGCCCCUCGAUGAUCACAUGGAUCUUGCGGCUCAAGCUUUUUGGAAGAACAAGAAGUUUGUCAAGUCCAACACCUUCAACCCCAACAACUAGUACAACAAGGGAACUUCAAGCUCCAAGCCCAAAAGUCAAAAAUCUCGUAAAUGCUAUAAUUGUGGUAAUAAUGAUCAUUUCGUUGCAGAUUGUAUCUAUGAGAGGAGUGAGGAGAAUGGUGGUCGUCUCAUCCUUAAAGGGAAGACCAAGUCCUUCUUCAACAAGAAGCCAACGAAAAAGAGCCAACCAAGAAUGCUUCUUGUUCAACAAAAAUAUACUUUGCGAAGAUGAUGAUGAUGAGGAAGAGACCAACGAAAAAGAGCCAACCAAGAAUGCUUCUUGUUCAACAUUGCCAUUGCUCCUUCACUUCUAUCUCUCUUUGACUCCCCCAAUGAGAACAAGAACCACUCACCCAAGUGAUUCAUGGCCAAGACCUCUUCGGUAAUCCCUCCUCCCAUCAAGAAUGUCAUUCCUAAGAGUUUAUCUCUAUUUGAUUGUGUGGAGGAGAAUAGUGUUGUUAAGCAUAACAUGAAUGAGUUCGAGAUCUUCAUGGCAAGCUUGGAAGGUGGGACCAAAAAGAGGUUUGAGUGCCUCUUGGAAAAACUAGGUGAAGUUCAACCUAUUAUUGAAGAACAUGAUGAGCUCAUGGAUAAGAAGGUAAGACUUGAGUGCGUUGCCGCUCAUGAGAUUGCGGAGCUUAAUGAAGCUCUUGAGGAAGAACAAACAAAUAGGUAAGCAAUUGAGGAGUCAGUUACUAAUGAACUUGCAAAAGUUAAAGAUUCCUAUAAUAAUGCUAUGUCCCUUGCUAAUGAUUACUUGGGUAGGAUAUGUGAAGUUGAGAAUGGUCAUAGAAACCUCCUUGAGGACUUUCACAAACUUGGAAAGGAUCACAAGUCCUUGACAAGUGAGUACAAGUCUCUCAAAGAGUCUUGUGAUCAUCUUCUAUAUUCUCUUAUUAAGGAGUUAAUUUCUAAUGAUAAAGAUGCUUCAACUAACCCUUGUCAUAAGCAUACAUCUAUGAUUGAGAAGAAUGCUAUGUUGAAGGCUCAACUUUAAAAGGGCCUAGCCACUUGCUUCCAAGGGGAGAAAAACCUCCAUGAUCUUUUGAAUGAUCAUAGAAAAGCUUUUGGAUUGGAGGAAAUUGGGUAUAACCCCAAUGAGAAGAGCAACAACAAGAAGAAGACCAAGGCUCCUCCCCACACUAAUGUUUAUUUUGUGAAGGAAGGGGAGGUGGCCAAGGAGAAGCGAAAGAACAAGAAGGGUGGUAAGGCCACCUAUGAUAAUAGUGCCGGGAAUUUCAAUCUCUCAUAUGUUCUUUGUCAUACUAAUGAUGGGCAUGUUUAUGCCAAAUUUGUUGGUUCUCGUUAUGAAUAUGUUCAUUGGUCUAUUUGGGUUCCUAAGACUCUUGUUGCUAACGCUAAAUGACCCAUUCAAAAAUGGGUACCUAAAACCAAAGCUUAAACUUGUAGGAGAUUGCUUUCGGUGGAUCUUCAUGGAUAGUGGAUAGUGGAUGCACUAAUCAUAUGACCAGGAGCAAAGAAUUGCUUGUGGACACUAAAAUGAGUAUAUUAAGGUCCAAGCAAGUUACAUUUGGAGAUUCUUUACAAUCAACUGUAUUGGGACUAGGCAAGGUUGUCAUCUCUCCGGAUACAUCCAUUGAGAAUGUCAUGCUUGUUGAUUCCCUUUCAUACAAUUUACUUUCGGUACUUCAACUUGCACAUAUGGGUUUUUAUUCCUUCUUUGGCACAACUAGUGUGACCCUUUUGUGGAGCAAGACUCUUAAAGUAGCCUUUGUCUCUAUGUGGUAGAUUUCGGUAAAAAACCCACUAGAGAAGAAACAUGUCUAAUGGCUAAAGUUGAUGUGGGUUGGCUAUGGCAUCGCCGACUAGCCCAUGUCAAUAUGAGAUCUUUGCAAAGUCUCCUCAAAGGUGAGCAUGUGCUAGGACUAACCAAUGUUUCAUUUAAUAAAGACCGUGUGUGUAGUUCUUGUAUUGAAGGGAAGGUACAUGAGAAGGCACAUCACCACAAGACAAUUAUCACUUCAACGAGGCCUUUGGAGCUCCUUCAUAUGGAUCUCUUCGGUCCUCCUACAUAUGAUAGUUUUGGUGGUAAGAAAUAUUGUUUGGUUAUUGUUGAUGACUAUUCUAAGUACACUUGGGUAUAUUUCUUCAAGCACAAGACUGAGACCCAACAAACCGUCAUCGACUUUGCCAAUGAAGCCCAACGCCAAUACAAUGCAAAGAUUAUGAUUAUAAGGAGUGAUAAUGGCUCCGAGUUCAAGAAUUACACCUUGAUUGAGUUUUUGAGUGAUGAGGGUAUCAAAAGACAAUAUUCCGCUGCUUAAACCCCUCAACAAAAUGGUGUAGCGGAGAGGAAGAAUAUAACUCUCAUGGAUGUGGCAAGAACAAUGUUGGCGGAGUUUAAGUCUCCAUACAACUUUUGGGACGAAGCAAUCAACACCGCAUGCCAUGCUACUAAACGCCUCUAUCUUCGCAAGAUAUUGAACAAGACACCUUAUGAAAUUCUCACGGGACGCAAGCCCAACCUCAAGUACUUUCGGGUAUUCGGUUGUAAGUGUUUCGUACUUAAGAAAAGUGUUCGUUAAUCUAAAUUUGAGCCUAAAACUUAUGAGGGCAUAUUUGUUGGCUAUGCAUUAAACUCCCACACUUAUAAAGUCUACAACAAAUCCACCGGAUGUGUUGAAAAAUCUUGUGAUGUGGAGUUUGAUGAGAAUAAUGGCUCCCAUGUGGGACAAGUUGAUGUUGUGUAUGUAGAUGAUGAAAUUCCUCCCCAAGCCAUACGAAGAAUGGGCAUAGGUCAAAUUAUGCCCGUUGAGGAUCCCUGAGUGGAAGAAGGAGAAGGACAAUUCUCUACUCAAGUGGAGCCCUCAUCUCCACAAGAUCCACAAGCUAGCCAAGAACAAGUUCCUCAUGUGGAUGAACAAGUUGAUCAAGGGCAAGAUCAAGCAAAUGUUGAUGUUGGUGAUUCUUCACCAAAUGAUGUCCAAGAUCAAGAUGUUCAAGCUUCCAUUGAGCCUCAAGAUUUAUCUCAAGAAGCUAUGGAACGUCGAGCCAUGAAGAUUGCCUCACGACUUCAACGUCAAGAACAUACCUUGGACAGUGUCCUAGGAAGUGUGAGGAAAGAGGUAACUACUCAUAGACAAUUAGCUAACUUUUGUGAACAUCAUGAUUUUGUCUGUUGUGUUGAGCCCCAAAAGAUAUAAGAAGCACUCGAGGAUCCGGAUUGGUUUAAUGCCAUGCAUGAAGAGUUGAAUAACUUCGAGCGCAAUAGACUAUGGUCAUUGGUGGAAAGACCAAAAGAUUGCAAGAAUGUCAUUGGCACCAAAUGGAUAUUCAAGAACAAGCAAGAUGCACUUGGACAAGUGACAAGGAAACAAGGCAAGAUUGGUGAAUCAAGGUUUCUCCCAACUCGAGGGUAUUGACUACGGUGAAACUUUCGCUCCCGUUGCUCGCCUUGAAUCUAUUCGUAUCUUGCUUGCAUAUGCAUCACAUCAUAACAUUACUUUGCAACAAAUGGAUGUGAAAAGUGCAUUUCUAAAUGGUCCACUAAAUGAGUUGGUAUAUGUCAAACAACCACCGGGGUUUGAGGACCCUCAAUUUCCUAACCACAUGUACAAACUUGAAAAAGCCCUUUAUGGUCUCAAACAAGCACCUCGAGGUUGGUAUGAGCACCUAAAGGAGCUACUAGUGGAUCGUGGUUUUGAAAUUGGGGUAAUUGACCCCACUCUUUUUACCAAGAUGGUUGGUGGUGAUUUGUUUAUAUGCCAACUAUAUGUUGAUGACAUUAUAUUGGGUUCUACUAAUGGUGUGUUCAAUGAUGAUCAAUUUGCUAAGCUAAUGGCUGAAAAGUUUGAGAUGUCUAUGAUGGGUAAAUUGGAGUUCUUCUUUGGAUUUGAAAUCAAGCAAUUGAGAGGAGCAAUCUUUAUUAAUCAAGCCAAAUACACCCAAGACAUGCUAAAGAGAUUCAAGAUGCAUGAUACCAAGAGUGCCAAGACCCCAAUGCCUACAUCAAGUUCUCUUGAUCUCGAUCCCAAUGGUAAAUAUGUGGAUCAAAAGGUAUAUCGUUCUAUGAUUGGUUCUUUGCUUUACCUUUGUGCAUCUAGACCGGAUAUUAUGUUGAGUGUGGGUCAAAAGAAUCUUUAAAUAUUUGGUUCAUACCCCAAACUUUGGUUUAUGGUAUCCUAAAGGAUCAAGUUUCAAGAUCAUGGGAUAUUCGGAUUCGGAUUGGGCGGGAGACAAAGUGGAUAGGAAGUCAACUUCCAGGACGUGCCAAUUUCUUGGUAGGUCGUUCGUAAGUUGGUCCUUUAAGAAGCAAAAUUGUGUGUCUCUCUCCACGACGGAAGCCGAGUAUGUAGCCGCCGCAAGUUGUUGUGCACAAUUAUUAUGGAUGAGGCCAACAUUGUUGGACUAUGGAAUCACUUGUGCCUCUUUUAUGUGACAACGAGAGUGCAAUCAAGAUAGCCCACAACCCCGUGCAACAUAGCAAGACGAAGCAUAUUGAGAUUUGUCAUCAUUUCAUUCGAGAGCACGUGGCCCAUUGUGAUAUUGAUCUCUCUUAUGUUGCCACCGGUAGGCAACUAGCGGAUGUUUUCACGAAGCCACUUGAUGGAGCAAGAUUUCGGGAGUUAAGGCAUGAGCUAAAUAUCCUAGAUUCUAGUGUUGUGGUUUGAUGAACUUGCACCCGUACCCACGGUUAACAUUUGUCUAGUUUGGAUGUGCGCAUGGAUGUAGGGGGAGCAUUGCUCAAUUCAUGGGCAAAUGCUACCCUUACUAUGCUAACAUUAAUUUCAUACAUUGAGCUUCAAUGUGAGUUUUGAGUCUUGAGCCCAAGAAUCUAUAUUCGCGGUGUCAAGCUCAUACAUACUCAAAUAUGGUCGCCUAGGCCACCGCGCUCACUUUUGUGAGGUUGGUUCCUUUUUAAUCCAUUGCAAAUCUUGUAAGUCAAUAUAUGACGUUAUAUGCUUAUAUAUGGAGAAGUACUCAAUUCUUGGUAUUUAAAGUUGCAUCUUGCAAGAUUGAGUAUACACAUCCCUAUUAACCACUUUGUGUGUGCCUUCCAUCCCAAGCCUAUUCUUAUCUUACAACAUUUCUAGUCUAGAUCACAAGUGGGCGGUCCUACCGGCUAUUAACCGGUAGUUCCGGCGGGCGGUAGUUCCGGCUAAUUUGCGGUACUACCGCCCAUGGCAGCUUCGUUUGGUAUAAAAGGGAGUGGGGCCGACCAAGUGGGGGUUUUCUUCCCCACUCAUCCCGUGCCCAACUCCCAUCUCCACUGCCAACCACCACGGUGAAGCUCUUCCCCAAGUUGAGGCUUGGAUCUAGCGGAACUACCGCUUAAUCUUGCAUCUCUUCUAAGGAAUUCGUUCUCCUUGAUCUCCUCUACCAUGAAGUCCAGUAAGUUUUCCUUUUCCCCUUCUCUAGUGUUCUAAUUUUGGAACCCUAUGUUUGAGGAGAGAGAAGAUGGACUAGAUAUUCGUAGAAUCAGUGUUAGAUAUUCUUCAGUGCUUGAGUUGCAUGAACCAUGAGAGUUGGUUUAGGUUCAGAUUUGGGAUUCAAACCCAAACCCUAGCUACUGCGUAUCGCCGGUACUACCGCUUAUUUUAGCGGUACUACCGCUGGGCGGUACCACCGGCUAAUUAGGCGGAGCCUCCGCCUGUUUCUGAACUGAUAUCAAUACUGCUGCAAUAUUUAUGCUCCUCAUUCCAUUUUCUUGUUGAACUUGUGCUUAUCUCCUGUCCCUCGCAUCUGUUCUCUUAUUCACAGGAGGUGGAGCUAGUUCUAGCAAAGGUGAUAAAGGCAAAGGCAUCAAGCGAAGGCACUCAGCUAUCAAGAAACCAACCAAAGCUCAGCAUGAUCGGAUCAUUGAGGAGGAUAUUCUGGAACCAGCCCGCAAGUCCCGCUCCAAGUCUACCGGCAAGCAACAUAUCCAGUCCAUCAAGGAGUACUCCACUCAUGAGUUCAAGGAAGCAAGGAUUGUUAAUCCGUAUCCUGAGGACAUUGCUGAGGGUGAAUUCAUUCCAAAUGGGUUCUAUACUGUGUUUCAGAAGCAAAUCUUUGACGAGCUCUAUACCUCGGGUGACACUUUCAAGCUUGUCACACAAUGUGCCAUUAACAUCCCUCACAUGCGUCGGAACAAGUACUUUGAGGAGGCUCUUGAACUAUGUGAGAAGUUUGGUCUCCUUGACACCAUGGAGUUCCAACAAGAGUACAAUGUCUUCUUUGUUGCUCAAUUUUAUGCCACAAUGCACUUUGGGACAGAUGAGCACCGUUCUAUCACUUGGAUCACAGGAAAGCAUGUUUGCAAGAGCAAUUGGGCUGAGUUUGCCACCAUCCUAGGCUAUGAAAAUCAUGGCAAUGAGAUUGCUAGUGGUUUCCGAGUUCAUGGGGCAGAUUAUCCUAUGGAUAAGAAAGAAAUGAAGCCACUAUACAUUGGAGGGAGAGCUGACCUUGGGAAGUCAAAUGACCUUUUACCUGUGUAUGACAUUAUGCAUAGGAUUUAUAGAGAGAACAUUGGAGUCAAAGAAGGAAACAUUGAUGUGUUACAUGGUUUUCUUGGUGAUCUUAUGAUUUGGACUCAUAGGAAGAAGGAUGCUAAUGAGAGGUUGGAUGUCAUGUACUAUUUUUGGCAUGAGAUGAAUGGACUUGUCAACUAUCAACGGUCACCCACUUAUGCACCAUAUGUCAUGACUUUGCUCAUCAACAAGGCCAACAUUCCUAAAGAUACACCAUUGUCCAAGCACUUGUCCAAAAGGUUGAUGAUCAAGAAGCAUAAUAGAUCAAUGUUUGAUGAAGAAGAAGAAGCGGUGGAGAGUGAUGCGGAUGACGAAGACUUUGAGAUUGUCCCCCACACUCGUACUAGCAAGCAUAUAGAGAGUUGGAUAAAGGCCAUGAGCCGCAAAUGAAGCAAAUCUUUUGCAUCCAACAAGAUUUUGAGAAGAAGAUGUAUACUGCCCAUGUUGAGUCAAAAGGCCAUUUGUCGCCAAUUGGACAUCCCUUAUCCUAGUGGUAGUGAGGAGAUUGUUACUCCUUUCAAGAAAUGGAAGUCCAAGCACACCUCUACAUGGAUUGAAGAGAUGGAUCAAGAGGAGAGCCCCUCCGAAGACCCAAGAACAAGAAGAGGAAGACAAUGUCACCAAUGAUGAUGAUGACAUUGAAGAUGAUGAAAAUGAUGAGUGAUCCCUUGUGUUGUGCUUGCUCCUUGGGACGUUCUUCCGUUUUUGGUGUCUUUGAUGCCAAAGGGGGAGAGAGUUAGUUAGGAGUAGGAGUAGAACGGGGAUUUGCAAGGUUUUAUCAAACUUUUUAUUGCAUGAGAACUAAGUUUGUGAACUUUAUGUGUGUGAAAUGCCCUUUGUGGCAUUUGUUAUCUAUUUGUGAGACAUGUUGAACUUUAUGCAUGAUAGUAAUAGCUAGCCACAUUAUGACUUGCUCUAUGCAUUGUGGUUAUCCUUUAUAUAUCUUGUCUCACCAAUCUUGUGUGGAGAUUUGUUUAUUUGUGCCUUUAUAGAUUUGCUCCAUCACAAGAUCUCAUUGCAAAGAUAAGCUCCUUGUGUGAUUCAUUCUUACUUAUGUGCCUCUAGCAGGUAUGGUCUUUAUCUCUUUUAAAUGAAUCAUUCAUAUCUUAAGGAAGUGUUAAUUGGAAUAUCUUUGAUCCUUUGCAAUUGAAUGUUAGCUUAUAAAAUCUAGGGGGGGCGUUUUUCCUCGCAUGUAUAUGCACUUUGCAUUUCAAAAGCAAAAUCAAAAUAGUGCAUAUAGUUAGGGGGAGCCCGUCUAUAUUUUAUUAGCUUGUGCUAAAGCUUUAUUCUCAUAUCUUAUUUGCAAAUCGUUGUGUUGUCAUCAAGCACCAAAAAGGGGGAUAUUGAAAGGGCAUUUCGAUCCCUAAUGAGUUUUGGUGUUAAUGACAACAUAACUUGUGAACUAAUCGUGCGCCAAGUGUUUUCAGAUUUUAUAACUUGUGGACUAAUCGUGCGCCAAGUGUUUUCAGAUUUUAUAACUUGUGGGCUAAUCGUGCACCAAGUGUUUUCAGAUUUUAUAAUUAGUGUUGUGACACGAUUCAUCGCCCUAAAAAAGGAAAGAAGAGUAUAAGGAUUUACGGCUUUUUACUUCAUUGAGUCGUAAGAAAAUCCGUACUAUAAAGAGAGAGUCCAUUUGGGAACGCUUUGUGUGAAUCAACUUCACGUACACAAAUCUACUAAAUUGCACCCACAUAAAGUCUAAACCCAGUUUUGAGUUGGGAGUUGUUGUUAUCCUGCUAAGGCUGUCAGACUUUUUCAGAGUUAGCCGGUAUUACCGCCUAAAUAGCCGGAGGUUCCGGUGGGCGAAAGUUCUGCCUUGGUACUGGUCAGGUACUGAAACGCUACUGGAAUCCUACUGCGUAUAGCGGUAGGAGACCGGUAGCAGGGCGGAAGUUCUCCGGUCCUCUACCGCCUUGGUACUGGUGUUACUGAAAUGUGUCUUAACGGUUGGAUUUCGAUGAGGUAUAAAAGGGGCUUCGUCCCCCAACGGGUUUCUUAGCCCGAGCACACCCAGUUCAUCCCUGUUCUCUCACUCAAGAACACCAAGAGUUUCAAAUCUUGAGAUCUCUCUCCCUAGUGCAUCCCCCAAGCCAAUAUUUUGAGGAAGGGUUGAGAAGAGCUCGAUCUAGGGUUUCACCAAAUCAAAAGUUGAUUCCCCUCGUUUUCCUUGGUGGAUUUUGUUACUCUUGGGAUUUUGGGAUCCCUAGCCGGAAGGUGUCUCUUCAAGCACUCUAAUCUUGUGAGGAGGUGUUUGAGGAUUCGGAAAGGAGUCUCCAAUUUAGUUGUGAAUUCAUGCCCUUCUCCUUGUUUGUAAAGGUUCGGCGUUCGCCUUCAAGGAAGUCAUUAGUAGAACUCACCUCGCCUUUGUGAUGUUGUGAGAGCUCAUCCCACCUUUGUGGUGUGGUGAGUUGGAGAAUAGAGUGAGCCUUCGUGGCGUCUCUCCAUUUGUUAUAGAGCACUCCUCCAAACGGAGACGUACACCGAUCCCAAUAGGUGGAACUCCGGUGAAAUCUUCGUCUUUCCGUGUGGUAUCAUACUUGCCCCUUAGUUACUUGUUUUACUUCAUUGUCUAUACUUUGCUUCAGUAGUGUUUCGGUUAUUGCACUUUAUACUAGGGUUGCAUUCCUUUUAGAGAAUCUAGUGAACUCUAGAAUUAAGUGUUUGUAUCUUUCACGUAAAGAUAAUUAAAAAGUAAAAUUUGUUAGUUGCCUAUUCAUCCCCCCACUCUAGUCGACCAUACCGAUCUUUCAAUUGGUAUCAGAGCCUCGUCUCUUAAUUAGAGCUUUACCGCUCUUCAGAGUAUGGCCAAUGAUGAUGUGGAACCCACCAUGAAACCCCAAGAAACCGAGGUGAUAGAUGAUAAUGCUCCACUAACUUUUAAAUCCAUCAAAUUGCUUUUGGAUCAACUUCAACCCUAACGACUAGUACAACAAGAGAGCUUCAAGCUCCAAGCCCAAAGGUCAAAAAUCUCGUAAAUGCUAUAAUUAUGGUAAUGAUGACCAUUUCGUUACAGAUUGUAUCUAUGAGAGGAAAAUAUAGCCAUACCAAAGAAAAAAGAAAAUAUAGCCAUACCAAAGAAAAUAUUGCAAAAAUAAUUUGACAAGCUAAAUUUUGCUGAGAUUUGAUUGGUUGAUUGUUCACAUUGGGCAUUGGACAUGAACUCGCUACUGAAUACGCCUUCGGGUCCUGCCUUCCCCGUCUGGCCCUCCAAUUCAACCCAGGCCGCUCGCGCGGGAAAGCCCCCAAACCCACCGCAGCGCGCGCCAAAAUGCCGCCGCCGCCGCGGCUAGACUUCCCGGCGUUCCCGUUCACGCCGUACCCGAUCCAGUCGGAGUUCAUGUCCUUCCUCUAUGCCGCUCUGUCCUCCGGCCCCCGCGCCCUCGCUCUCCUCGAGAGCCCCACCGGUAAGCUCUCCCCCACCUUUCCCUCGUCCUCACCUGCCCCCCCUCUCAAAACCCUAACUUCAAUGUCGCCGCAGGCACCGGAAAGACCCUCAGCAUCAUCUGCAGCGCGCUUCAGUGGCUCGUCGACCACCGCGAAGCCGCUGGGCGGGGCCACCCCGAUCAGGAAAAUGGCUCUGCCACCGUUGCCGGCGGUGGCGCAGGCGACGACGACGAGCCCGACUGGAUGCGGGAUUUCACCCCGCUGCUGCCGAAACCAGAGAAUAGAAAGAAGACAAAGCCUCACCCCGCGAGGAGGCAGGAACCAAGGAACGCAAAGGAUUCUGAGAAAUCCGAAGGAAUUGGGGGCAACGACAGCGAGGAGGAAUUUUUGCUGGUCGAAUACGAUAGUGAUGACGAAGAGGGCACAAGGCGGCAGUCCGGGAAGCGGGCGCAUUGUGGUGGUGGUAGUAGUAGUGAGAGUGAGGAUGACGAGGGUGAAGAGGAUGAGGCCGAGGUGACACCCAAGGUGUACUUCACUAGCCGCACACAUUCGCAGUUAUCACAGUUUGUUGGGGAGCUGAAGAAGACACAGUUCUCAGCGAAGCUCAGGAUGGUAUGCUUGGGAUCCCGGAUGAACUUGUGCAUUAACAAUGGUGAGUGGAUUAGUUUGUUACCACUAUUCUUUUACUUUAGGGUGGCGCGCGGGAAUUGGGAUGAGUUGAUCUGGCAUACAUUUGCUUGCAGAUGUUCGGAAGCUGGGGAGCGCGAAUCGGAUCAAUGAGAGGUGCUUGGAAUUGCAGAAGAAUAAGAAGAGCAGCAAAAUUAAGGUCUGCUAAUUAGGUCCAUUUUUUGUUUUAACCCAAAUUUAGUUGUUUCUUUCGCGUUUAUAGCCUGGCAUGCUUACAUGAUUGAUAGGUAUGAUUGGUAUUACUAUUAUCUACUGAUCGUAAUUUCUUCAGAAGCUCUAAUGGAACCAUGUUUUUGUUGAUUCUCAGUGGAAAUAUACUCUAGACAUGCACUGAUGUACUUCCAUCCAAUGUGCUAGUAAUCAUCUUUUGUCUUAUGUUGCCCAUAUGCUGUUUGCACAGGAAUCAAGUGGUUGGUUAUCAUAUUACAAAUUUUGGGUGCUUUAAAACCAAUGCUUCAUUUGUGAACUACUAAUUACUUGAGCGGCGAUGAAUAUUCAGGUUGAUGGUGAUAACCAAAAGGCGAGACAAGCAAAGAUAUCUUGUCAGUGUCCAAUGUUAAGAAAGAGAAGUCUUCAGAAAGAAUUCAGGAGUGAAGUGUCAGCGAAUGGUGCAUUGGACAUUGAGGAUUUGGCACAAAUAGGGAAGAAGAUUGGAACAUGUCCGUACUACGGUGUGCGUGACAUGGUCCCCGCAGCUGAUCUUGUAGUACUUCCUUACCAGUCUUUGUUGCUGAAGUCUGCUAGAGAAUCACUUGGCCUUAAUCUGAAGAACAGUGUUAUCAUCAUAGAUGAGGCUCACAACUUAGCAGACUCCCUCACUAGCAUGUACAACUCGAAGGUCACAUGCCCUCAGGUUACACUUCCUGAUAAUUGAACUGUUCCUCACAGUAUGGCAGCAUCAUUUUUAUUCUCAGUUAUAGAUGUUUACAUCUAUUAAAAACUGCCUUUUGGUGCAUUUCGUUCCACGAGCAUAGUUUUUUUUAUACCGUUCCAUCCUUUCUAUUAAUUUCAGAAUUAUUCCUACUGCAUAACUGGAUUCUAGCUUCAUAAGUUAAUUUCCUUUAAAACAUCAAUAGUGUUAUCGAAGAUUCAAACACUGUAAGGAGGUUUGCCAUUUAAUGGACCUAACGUAAAGGAGUUUUCUGGUAGAGGUUUUGCCUGUGCUCACAUGUUUCAUUGUGGCAAGGUAUUAAAAAUAACAUUCUGCGGUCCAUGUGCUUGUAGAAAAUUUCCUUCUGAAAGCAAAUUCGAUUCGCUAAUGAACUGUGUUUGUUCCCUUCCAAGUGUAGAAAUGAACUUCAUUGUCUGAUUAUCGUUUUCCUUUUGCAUUGCUAGUUGAGGGCAGCUCUUUCGCACCUAGAGGCAUACCUCGAUAGAUUUCAAAAUGUUUUGGGAGCUGGAAAUCGACGUUACAUCCAGACCUUGAUCGUUUUAACACGGUCGUUCCAGCGAGUUCUGAUGAGUGGUGAAGAUGGUUCCUGCGCUGUGACCUCUGUCACUGUAAACAAUUUCUUAUUCUCCCUUGAUAUUGAUAACAUAAACAUAGUAAAACUUUGUCAGUAUCUGAAGGAAAGCAAUAUAAUCCAUAAGGUGAACUAUUUCCUCCCCUACAUGUCUGUUCAGUCUUGUUGUGUCUAGAUCCAUUUACUAUUUAUUUGCAGGUUAGUGGAUACGCCAACAAGUUGAUUAUUACUCAAGAUGGUGCAAGCAAUUUGAAUCAUCAGCAGCAACAUGAUGAAGGAAGCACUAUAUCAAGCUUUCAGGCAGUGGCUAACUUUUUACGCUCCUUACUGAAUAGCAAUGUGGAUGGAAGAAUUAUAGUUGCACGACAGAAGCCCGGUGGACAACCUGAAGAUGCAUAUCUUAAAUUUAUUAUGCUUUGUCCAGAGAAAAUAUUUUCAGAGGUACUGUAACCUUUCUCUGUAUGUUGCUUGGAAAUAGCAGAUGUCAUAUUUCACGAAAGUAUUUAUAUAUCUUUUCUAUCGCAGGUUACAGAAGAUGCACAUGCAGUUGUUAUGGCUGGUGGAACCCUGCAGCCUAUUGAAGAAACAAGGUUGCGCUUGUUUCCAAGCUUAUCGACUAGUGAUGUAAAAUUCUUCUCAUGCAACCAUAUUGUUCCAGCGGAGAGUAUUCUGCCCAUAGCUGUUACUCGUGGACCGUCAGGCAUGGAAUUUGAUUUCAGCUUCGGUUCAAGGCGGUCCCCUGCCAUGGUUUGUAUACCUCAAGUCAUUUCUCCUUUGCGUUUGCUAGUCUAGUAUAUACUAAGAAUUAAAUGUAAUGAGUUUAUCUUGCAGUCGACUGCUUUUUCAUUAAUAUAUAAAUAUGACCGCACAGAUAUUUUGAACAAAAGAAUCAGCACUCUCUUUGCAGCUUUAAAUCAAUGGGGCUCUCUUUGCUUUGUAACCUUCGCUAUUUUAGAACUUGCUCCAAAAGACAUGCCUAUCCUGGGUUAUCCUGUCGUAUUUUAUUUGAAUAUAAAUUUUAGACUUCUAAAUGAGUUGCAUGUAUUGAUGGAUGCAAAAAUGUCACCAAUGGCCAAGUUCUGUUUCUUUAGAAAAAUAAUUUACUGUGUUAAUUUACAAUUUAUGUUUUUCCUUGUGUGGACUCUUUUUUGUAUGAUGAUUUGGCAUACUUAAAAGCAUGCCAUGUUUUGUGCCCACUGUACAGAUCGAAGAGCUUGGACGUUUUCUUUGCAAUAUAGUGACCAUAGUGCCAGAUGGAGUAGUAAUGUUUUUUACUUCCUAUGAGUAUGAAAAGCAAGUUUAUGAUGCAUGGACGGCUUCAGGUACAAUCUCUAAAAUUUCUAAGAAGAAGUGUGUUUUCAGAGAACCCAAAAACAGUGUUAAUGUCGAAGGGAUACUCAACAAAUACAAGGAGGCAAUUCAGUCGUGUAGCGAACAUUCACAAGGCACAGGGGUCAAUGGGGCACUUCUAUUGGCUGUUGUUGGUGGGAAGAUAUCUGAAGGCAUAAACUUCAGUGAUGGUAUGGGUCGCUGUGUUCUAAUGGUUGGAUUGCCUUAUCCAAGCCCAGAUGAUGUGGAGCUGAUGGAGACAAUAAAGCAUAUAGGAAAUCAUUCAAGCUCAUCUACGGUUGGAGAUAAUAACUCCUUAAGCAGUCAAUAUGACCAUGAAUGCACAGUUGAGCCUGGUUUUGAUACACUAAGGAGGUGCGGUAAAAGUGGGCGAGAGCAUUAUGAGAACUUGUGUAUGAAAGCUGUCAAUCAAUCUAUUGGUAAGCUGCUUCGUCAUUUUAAAUUUUGUGAUGCUGAAAAUAAGUUGUUUCAGUUCUGAGAUGAAGAACUAACUCGCUUGCAGGUAGAGCAAUCAGGCACGUAAAUGACUACGCUGCAAUGCUGUUGGUUGACUCACGCUAUUCAAGCACCUCAUCAAGCAGGAGUUUAUCUUGUCCUGCUGAAAAGUUACCCCAGUGGAUAAAGAGACGACUUACUUGUGGUAAAAACUACGGGGAAGUUCAUAGGUUGUUGCUUCAGUUCUUCAAAAUCAACAAACAAAUGCAUUGAAAAUAUUACGGAUCAUACGAUGUAGGUGUUGCUAUUUAAUGAAGUCGAGUAUAUACAGGUUUGCAUAUUCUUGAUGCAUUUUUGUUUCCCUGAUACUGGUGCGAUGUGUUUAUUUGUCGCUGCCUGCUGAAGAACGAGCGUUCCCAGGUUCAGUUAGCACGCAAAAUCCCAUGUCCUACCUGCCUGUUCGUGCAUGUUUACAUUCCCUCUCAAUCGAACCGUCAUAGAGAAAAUUUAGAUUGUGCCGUAGUAUGUUCAGAUUAGCCUACGAUCACCCCGACCACUCGUUGACUGCAUGUGGCAACGGUGAGAUGGAUCGCAUGCAUGAUCAUGUAGGCAAAUUGCAAGAGGUGAGGGUACAGACUACAGAGGGACCACCGGACCAGGUCACCAGGGAAAUCAGGUUCAUUGGGUUGUUUCAUCGCGGGACAGGGAGGACGAUCCGACGCCUAGUGUCUCCCUCUAAAUUCCUAUUCGCAUUCGUCUUCUUUUUAUUCGCCAGCUGAUACUUCCUAGCGCUAUAAUCUGUGUGAUUGAAUUUUUUUUAAAAUUAUAUUCGAGUGAAUCUGAUUCGGCGGCUCGUCCUACUGAAAAAUAAACAAAUAAGCUGCCCCAUCCCCUUCUACUAAGAGCAAGAUUAAUAGUACAACCAAAUGCUGGCUAAAGUUGAUGUCAUAUUGUCAUGUCAUAUAUAGCUAAUGCGAUACUCCAUUGGCAGGAAAACGAGAAAUGUUCACUCAACUAGAAAUCUUAUACGGUCUCUCAAUCGGCAAAACCAGAUUCUCAAUCGGCAAAACUGGAUAUUUGGUCCCUCUUGGAUUUGAACGGUUUUAACUGUGACGUGAUUUUCCCCGGAUUUUUUUCCACGUCGAACGUCACGAUGGCAUCAGGUUUUCCCACAGAAAUGGUCCGCGAACUUGAAAUCGUAUAUGGUUGGUUCUUGAACUAUGCAUCGUCGCUGUCGGACGUAGAAAAGUUUGAAGGAAAUUGCACCGUAUGGAGUCCAAACCAGUUAAGACUGUUCAAAUCCGGGAGAGGAAGUAAAAGUAUCCGGUUUUGCCAAUUGAGUGACCAAAUUUAUACGAUUUAAAUUUGAUGGACCAUUUCUAGACUUUGAGAGACCAAUAAUAUAUUUUUCUCAGUUAAAAAAUGAUGAUCCUUACUUGGUUAUAUUCUUUGCACUUCUAUUUUUAGGAUAUGUAAACUAAUUUCACUUGUACCACAUGUUUUGUCAUAUUGCUGUUUCUGAAAGUUGAUGUUACCUUUUAUUUUUGGGAAAUGAUGAAAAAUAAUAUGUCUGUGCUAGCUCUUUGAUUAUGCAGCCUGAUUUGUUCGCCAUGUUUCCUUGGUAGUGUUUAUUAUGUUAUAAAAUACUCUAUCCGUCCGGUGCUAAGUAUCGCAACUUUGUCUAGAUACAUGCGUGUCUAGACAUGUUUUAGUAUGUAGAUGCAUACAUGUAUCUGGACAAAGUUGCGUCACUUAAUACCGGACGGAAGGAAUAUUAAUUUUGUAAGCAGACACCGAAAUAAAUCGAAGAAGAUUAUAUGCACCCAGUGUACGCAUAGCUCUUUCGGCAAUCUCAAAAAAGAUGACGUUGUUCAGUAAAAGUAUUGACAUAGCUGCAUCCAAAUAGAUCACUUUUGCGUACUAAUGAUUGAUUUCACUAGAUAUGCAUGUACAUACAUACUCAUGUAUUUAAAUAAAACUAUUUCAAUUAAUUUGGAUGGGAGAACAAACAUCCCUAUUUGCCAGUAUAUUGAAUAUCCCAACCUAUUGUUUCUCUAUUUUCCAUGUAUUCUUGUAACACCAUCCACUUUUUUUCGAGUAAAAUGCAUCAGAAGUUCUAAUUCUUUCGUAAAGGUUUCAAGUUAGUCUUACUUCUUUGAAACUGCACGUUUGAAUCCAAAAUGUUUCAUAAGUGGUGCGACUUGCUACUGACGUGGCUCCUUGGACCCAAAUGUCAGGUGACAAGGUGACUGACUGUUUCUUGCUCCCCCACGAUCCUGUCCUUCUCCCCUGCUUCUCCUUCUUAUCCCAGGCCGAGCCAUGAGCUCCGACGAAGCCCUCUUCCCCGCACACUCUCAAGCUCCCCCAAGCCGAGGCUGCUGCAACCCUCCUCAAGCUCCGCAUCGUCUCCGCUCGCUCUCUCCCUCCGCCUGGACCCACUGCGCAUCCAGGGCCGCCUUCAAUCGUUUCAUCUCCCCUGACUCCGGCAAGAGCGCCGCCUGCGGGCGCUCGCCUCCUCACGGCAUCCCUCUCCUCGCCUCCGCGUCCUGUAGCACCACGCCUCCUCGGCAGAGCUGCCGUCACCCCUCGGCCGAGCCCGUUGCGACCCCGAGCAACGCCGCAAUGAAGACCACCGCCGGCCGCCACUGCUUCACCGUCGUUGGGCCACUCCGGCGCGGGAUCUCCCUCACCGCCGCCGCCAUCAGUCUCCCCACGCUAGCGCGCGCACGGAGAGGUCUCUGGAGCGGAUCUCGCCCCCCCUAUGCCAUCCCCACGUGCGGCAGUGGGGAUUCCCAGGGCCUUCAGUGGGCGUAGGGGAAAGCCCGGGAGGACCGCGUCAACGUGGUCGUGUCCGACGAGCGCGGCUGGGUGUUCGUCGGCAUCUACGACGGCUUCAACGGCCCCGACGCCAAGCGAGCUCCGCAGCCUGCUCUGGAGCAGCAGCAAGAGCACCAGGACCUGCCCACCUCUGCGCCCAACACCACGACCUCGGACCACCAAGACCAGUGCCAGAGUAGCCGGCGAGGAGAUUGCUGGCGAUGGAGAAGCAUGGAAAGAGGAUAGGGUUCACGCCUUCACGGGGUAGAGAAGAGAAGAGAGUCAGGUUUUUUUAAUAAAUGGAAUCCACCUUGUAACCUGACACGUGGACCCAAGGUGUCACGUCGGCAGCAGACACGCGUCCGAGCCACAUUACUUAUGAAACUAUUGGGACUCAAACGUACAGUUUCAAAAAUUUAGAACUAAAUCUUGCUACCUUUACGAAAGAAUUAUGACAUCUCAUGCAAUUUACUUUUUUUUUCUAUCGCGUUGAGAGCCACAAGAAAUUCCAGCGGGGCGGCGAAGCCGCUGAUCCGUCUGGUCGUCUCGACAGUGGAAUGUUUUUCCAGCCAGAUGAUUGCGAACACAUAUAGAAACGCAUUGACAGCCAAUCUCAGGAACGGAAUUGCAGAAUCCAGUCUGGAAAACGAAAAAGAAACCGAGCAACGGUCCUCCAUGUGAGCGGGCCCCACCGCCGGCACAAGGUGCCAUUGCGAUCCCAGCUAGGUCCAGCAGAAAGAGAGCCGUUAUAUACUCAAAUCAAUUAUGAAGGGAAGGGAGAGAGAACGUUAUAUAACCAGAGAAGAUGGGGGGCACAACGGGAAGGAAGCAAAGAGCCAACGACGACAGGUAGGCAGGCAGGCACCUAGAGAGGAUCGGAGAACGCGCACAGGCGGCUGCCAUGGCACGGAGUACCCCCUUCGGUUUCGUCGUCGCCGCGGCGCUCGCCCUCGCCAUCGUGAUGCCGGCCGUCGCCGGGCAGGCCCCCGCGCAGGCGCCCUCCAGCGACGGUAAGCCAUCUCUCAAUCAAAGCACGAUGGACAGCAUCAAGGAAAGUGGCAUGUUCUUCUUUUCGGGAAAUUCUGAUCUGUUUGUUGUGAAUAUAUACUUGCAGCAUCGUCCAUCGACCAAGGCGUCGCGUACCUUCUGAUGAUCCUGGCGCUGGUGCUCACCUACCUCAUCCACCCGUUGGAUGCCUCCUCCCCUUACAAGCUCUUCUGAGUCUCCCAGCAGAGGAUUCUUAUUCUUUUCUUCAUCUUUCCCCCCUCUUCUUUUGAUCGAUAGGCUAGUGGAUUCUUGGUGCUGUGACUGUGAGAUUGGAUUUGGAUUCAUUUGUUGCCUAGUGGACUAGUGUGCGUAUAUUUUUGUUUGCCCGUGUUGUUCCAAUGCUUCUCUGCUGGUCUUUUGGCAUUCAUUUGCCGUGAGGAAAUUAUUGCUUCAGUUUCCAUGUAUUUGCAUCAGAGAUCCCUUGUAUGUAAAAGGAGUAUGGUUGGGCCAUAGCAUGUUCAGCUCAUAAAUCGAGAGCGGCCCACCGUAUUUCUUUGUCGUUAGCUAGCUUUUUCUCGUGUUUGUUUUCUCCAGAAACGCAUCCAACACACACUUACACGGAAUUGGUGAUUAGAGGGACCAAGUAGGCGUCUCAAGUGAAGUUCUCAAAUUCCCCUCGUUUGUCCAAAUCUGUCCAUACUUCAUGAAUAAAAUACAUAGUCCAAUAAAAAUCUCCAUUUAUCUCCAUUUAUCAAAAACCCCACCUGUCACGCGAACAACGCACCUUUUCUCUCUGUCCUCCUCCUCGUCUCCUUCCCCGCCGAAUCUCAUCUAGCUCCAUUUCCAUGGCCUCGCUUAGCCUCCAUUUCCGUGGCGCCCUCGACACCCCUGCUCCCCGCCGUCUGUCUUUCCCAGCGCCCCACCGCCGUGCUCGCCGGCCGCCUCGGCGCUCCCCGCUGCCGCGCUCGCUGGAGCCUCUCACCCUCGAUCUGGAACCUCUGCGACCUCGCCGACCUCCGCGGGUACGAUUGCUAGGCGUGCUUCCCGGCCGGCCGCUUCCUUGAUCCCCCCAACACCAGCCCUUCCAGGUCGCCGGUGCCGUCGUACUGGGCAGCUUCAGCUCCCAGGACGAGGUAGGCCCUCGACCUCUCCUCUCCUCCAGCCCGACGACACUUGCUUCUGGUUGUGGCUAGUCUUGUGUUCUAGUGGGCAGGUGAGCAGCUGUACUGAAUUUGUAUUCGGCACCAAUCUCUGCCCGAUGAAGGCCUUUGUUGUUGCUUGCCUGUUGGUUGUUUGAUUGUGCGAUCAAUCUUUUGACCACUGGAUUGUUGAUUGCAUCUGCCUGCUUGUGAUGAAUAGCUGUCACAAUUCAUUGUCCCUUGCUGUCAAAAUGAGAUCGUAGCAGAGAAGUGGCUGUUGCUAGUGUAUGUCCCUUGUUCAAUUUCAAGCAUGUAGUACUGAUAUUUGGCGUUGCUCUGCAUUUGAUCUUUCGGGCACUGAAGUGAUUUUCCUUUUC
Molecule: long non-coding RNA, 22923 nt
Filed under: Brachypodium distachyon (stiff brome)
Lineage: Eukaryota; Viridiplantae; Streptophyta; Magnoliopsida; Poales; Poaceae
Description: long non-coding RNA (BDIS_LNC002237)
Source: RNAcentral